GGGCGUGUAGUUCAGUGGUUCGAUUUUUCCAAGAAAAAUCGCGCUAAAGAACGCUACCUUGGCAUGGUAGAGGCCGCGAGUUCAAUUCUCGCCACGUCCA
Molecule: transfer RNA, 100 nt
Filed under: Promethearchaeota archaeon
Lineage: Archaea; Promethearchaeati; Promethearchaeota
Description: Candidatus Lokiarchaeota archaeon (anaerobic digester metagenome) tRNA-Ala
Rfam family: tRNA
About the family: Transfer RNA (tRNA) molecules are approximately 80 nucleotides in length. Their secondary structure includes four short double-helical elements and three loops (D, anti-codon, and T loops).
Source: RNAcentral